GCGAAAGUGGCGGAAUUGGUAGACGCGCUGGAUUUAGGUUCCAGUCCUGCAAGGGGUGGGAGUUCGAUUCUCCCCUUUCGCACCA
This 85-nucleotide transfer RNA is filed under the name Chromatiaceae bacterium. RNAcentral describes it as "tRNA-Leu". It matches the Rfam family "tRNA". From Rfam's summary of the family: Transfer RNA (tRNA) molecules are approximately 80 nucleotides in length. Lineage: Bacteria; Pseudomonadati; Pseudomonadota; Gammaproteobacteria; Chromatiales; Chromatiaceae. The record is from RNAcentral.